Molecule: long non-coding RNA, 1149 nt
Filed under: Anas platyrhynchos platyrhynchos (common mallard)
Lineage: Eukaryota; Metazoa; Chordata; Aves; Anseriformes; Anatidae
Description: lncRNA (ENSAPLG00000029516.1)
Source: RNAcentral
UCUUUUCUUGGUAAUGUGUUUGCAAACUCUGAACAAAAAUGAAAAUAAAGAAGUAUAAAUUACUUCUGCUGUCUGAUCCAAGCGUGUAGAAAAGCUGCAGGUGAAGCUACAAGCUAAAAUUCACGAGAGGGUCAGAACUGAUUUUAUAGGUAAUUAGCAGGGGAAGUUGUGUUGUCACCACACUACACACUGGCUAGGAAAAGAGAAGUGUCUCUGUGUCCUUUACUCAUUCACUGCUUGGUCUUGCUCAGACGUGUUCUCUGAGGCUGGAAUAUCAGGAUCUAUUUGCCAACAUCUCCUGCCUGUUUUCUGUGUACAGGCAGAAGAGGACUGUCAAGAUCUCUGCUCUUCUCCUUUGGAGUGCUGGCAGCAAAGGAAGACAAUUGGGCUGCAGAACUACAGAGCUGAAUAUGCUUGUUGCCUCCUUCACCACCAGGAACAAAAUAGAAUCAGAGGCUUGUGCAUAUUGUUGCAUUUUAAGCUUCCAACACUGUCACGUCUAUGUCUGACAAAGAGUAAGCAAUUAAAGACUGACAAGUGUGGAAUUUAUUAUGGCCCUUUGCAUGAACUGACUCUAAGGUCCCUCUUAGAUUUCCAGGAAAUAAAGUUACCAAUGCACAUGGUGGUCUAACACCAGCUUUGAAAGCUGGUAGUUAACUGCAGCUGUAGAAUGUGAAUUAUCGACGCCUUCCUUAAUAUUUAGCAUUCUGCUUUUGGUCUAUGUCUUUCUUCUCAAUGUCAACAUUGUAUUUGUAUAAACAUCUUAGAUAUGACUAUUUCAUACAGCAGAGUCUCAGAUGGGCAUUUUCAAAGUGAAAUGGCUCAUCAAAGACAUCUUAUGAGAUAGUGUCUCCCAGCAAAAGAAUAUGGAGUCAAUGAGAAUCUUCCUUAAACUGUGGGAGACUUCUGAGUGAGAUCAUAUUCAGUUUAGGGUAAAAGCAUUCAUGAAAAUGACUACACUUUAAAGUGUUUUUGUGAACAAUGGUUUUGUGUCCUCUGUCAUGCUCCACACUUGUUUAUGAUAUAAAAACAGGCAGAUUUUCACAGAUAAAGUUUUUAAUCCAAAAUAUGCUUGUAGAGACACAAAUGUCAAAAAAAGACAUAUACCAACAAAGUCAUAAAAGAAUAAAAUAAACUCCCAACAUUACA